GUGCUCACUUCUGCAGCACAUAUACUAAAAUUGGAAUGAUGCAGAGAAGAUUAGCAUGGCCCCUGCACAAGGAUGACACACCAAUUCAUGAAGCAUUCAAAACACAG
Small nuclear RNA from Monodelphis domestica (gray short-tailed opossum), 107 nucleotides. Lineage: Eukaryota; Metazoa; Chordata; Mammalia; Didelphimorphia; Didelphidae. The record is from Ensembl.